This 484-nucleotide long non-coding RNA is filed under the name Canis lupus familiaris (dog). RNAcentral describes it as "lncRNA (ENSCAFG00845005693.1)". The record is from RNAcentral. Lineage: Eukaryota; Metazoa; Chordata; Mammalia; Carnivora; Canidae.
GAGAGAGAGAGAGAGCACCAGCAGGAGGACAGAGGGAGUGAGAAUCCCAAGCAGAUUCCAUGCUGAGCAUAGAGCCAGACUGAGGGGGGGCUCAAUCUUACCACCCUGAGAUCAGAAGUUGGACAGUCAACCAACUGUGCCACCCAGAUGUCCCAUGAUGUCUCUGUUUAUGUUAAAGGAACAGAAGUAAAACUAUACUUCAUAGUCCAUAAAAUUUAGCAUGUACAUCAAUAAAGUAUGGCACUCAUUAAUUUUUUCUCACAGUACCAAUGGACUGCCUAAAAAAGAUGAAGUAAAAACAAUAAGUGCCAGAGGAAGAUCAUUCCUGUUUAUGAAGUUCCUGGAAAGUUACCCUUAAUGCAGUUUUCAAGCACAAACAAAGAGAAAAACAAUUGACGGCCUUUCUUAAUAUUUGCAAUUCGCUUGUUUCAUUUUCAUGUGCAUGGAGACAGUGUUCCCCUCUAAUGAAAGUAUCAGAGAACCA